Molecule: transfer RNA, 76 nt
Filed under: Bacillus inaquosorum
Lineage: Bacteria; Bacillati; Bacillota; Bacilli; Caryophanales; Bacillaceae
Description: tRNA-Asp
Rfam family: tRNA
About the family: Transfer RNA (tRNA) molecules are approximately 80 nucleotides in length. Their secondary structure includes four short double-helical elements and three loops (D, anti-codon, and T loops). Further hydrogen bonds mediate the characteristic L-shaped molecular structure. tRNAs have two regions of fundamental functional importance: the anti-codon, which is responsible for specific mRNA codon recognition, and the 3' end, to which the tRNAs corresponding amino acid is attached (by aminoacyl-tRNA synthetases). tRNAs cope with the degeneracy of the genetic code in two manners: having more than one tRNA (with a specific anti-codon) for a particular amino acid; and 'wobble' base-pairing, i.e. permitting non-standard base-pairing at the 3rd anti-codon position.
Source: RNAcentral
GGUCCCGUGGUGUAGCGGUUAGAAUGCCUGCCUGUCACGCAGGAGGUCGCGGGUUCGAGUCCCGUCCGGACCGCCA